UAGGAGUGAAAUCCGUGGAUAUCACAAGGAACCCAAAGGCGAAGGCAUUGCACUGGGUUAGCACUGACCCUGAGAGACGAAAGCUUGGGGAGCAAAACGGAUUAGAUACCCGUGUAGUCCACGCCCUAUACGAUGAAUGCUAAAUGUUCGGGGAUUCGACCCCCUGGGUGUUACAGCUAACGCGUUAAGCAUUCCGCCUGGGAAGUACGUCCGCAAGGCUAAAACUCAAAGGAAUAGACGGGGAUCCGCACAAGCGGUGGAGCGUCUGGUUUAAUUCGACAGUAAGCGUGGUACCUCACCAGGGUUUGACAUCCCUUGACAGCCUUGGAAACAAGGUUUCCUUCGGGCAAGGUGACAGGUGCUGCAUGGUCGUCGUCAGUUCGUGCCGUGAGGUGUUCCGUUAAGUCGGGAAACGAACGAAACCCCUAUUGCAUGUUACAAUUUCUCAUGCAAGACUGCCCGGAUAUACUGGGAGGAAGGUGGGGAUGACGUCAGAUCUGCAUGGUCCUUAUACCCUGGGCGACACAGGCGCUACAAUGGCAGAGACAAAGGGUUGCAAAACCGCAAGGUGAAGCUAAUCCCAAAAACUUUGUCUAAGUUCGGAUUGAAGGCUGCAAUUCGCCUUCAUGACGCUGCAAUCGCUAGUAAUCGUGAAUCAGCCACGUCACGGUGAAUAUGUUCCCGGAUC
RNAcentral lists this ribosomal RNA (688 nucleotides) under uncultured organism. RNAcentral describes it as "bacterial SSU rRNA". It matches the Rfam family "Bacterial small subunit ribosomal RNA", at positions 676 to 1380 of the family's 1533-position model. The record is from RNAcentral.